This 480-nucleotide long non-coding RNA is filed under the name Mustela putorius furo (domestic ferret). RNAcentral describes it as "lncRNA (ENSMPUG00000027668.1)". Lineage: Eukaryota; Metazoa; Chordata; Mammalia; Carnivora; Mustelidae. The record is from RNAcentral.
UAGAACUCUUCUGGAGAGCCAUGAAAGAUUCAUGAAGGCCAAGUGAGGAUGUGCGCUGCAGGGUAAAGGCUAGGCGGGCAGCAGCAAGGCCGGCGAGGUCUGGCCCUAGGCAGGGAGCCCGCAGGAGCAGCCGAGCCCCAACCCCGGCCGCGGGAGAGGGGUGCCUCCACACCAUGCCCUCACCGAGGGAGGAGGAGGAGGGGCGCCCUGUGCCUGUCCCAGGGCGUGGAAGGAGAAGCGUGGCCCAGGAGCAGAAGGAAGACUCUGGAAGGCCCUGGACGGCGUUCAGAAAGCUGAGGAUGGCCCAGGAAGAAUAAAGAGAUGAGUUCUGUGGCCACAGGUCCCUUGGGAGAAGCAGGGGGGCAAGGUAAUCCUGGAGCCAAGGGCAGUAUCAUGAUGUCAGGAGUCCCCGGGUGAGCUGACUGUCCCAGGAGGACUGCCAGGGCAAGCUGGGAGUUCUGCGGUGCCGCAAAUAAUCAC